CAAACGGCUCUUUUCAGAGCCACCCCUUUUGCAUACAAAAAGAUAU
Molecule: non-coding RNA, 46 nt
Organism: Ciona intestinalis (vase tunicate)
Lineage: Eukaryota; Metazoa; Chordata; Ascidiacea; Phlebobranchia; Cionidae
Source: Rfam